AUAUGUGACAGCUUAAAAGUACCUCUUGUGCCUGAUAAUUUGACCCAAAUAUGUUCUUCUUGGUGCAAACAUAACUUCAACCGUGAUCUUCGACAACCUAUGCUCAUGGUCGUGGCUGCGUUGAUUUGGUGUUGCUGGGAAGAAAGAAAUGCGAGAAUCUUUUUAAACAAAACUUCUUCAGAAGAGAGGGUGUUCUGGAAAUUGCUUCACCUAAUCAGUGAUUGGAUGGCUCUUUGCAAUCAAAAGGAGUUAUUAAGCCUUUCAAAAAUUGCUGACUACCUCUUCAUCAGAGCAGUCUGAUCUCAGCUAUGAUUUUGAGUUUACUGAUUGUAUUUUCUGAUAUCAAAUCUUUUGUUUUGCUUACUACAUCUAUCUUCUCUUGUUCUCUUUAUAACAUUUUGUAACCACCCUGAUGUUUUCUGUUCCAGCUGAAGCUUAUCUGUAUCCUACUCUUGUAUAGCUCUUUAUUAAUAAAGAUUGGGUGGCCUAUAGCCUCCC
Molecule: long non-coding RNA, 498 nt
Filed under: Elaeis guineensis (African oil palm)
Lineage: Eukaryota; Viridiplantae; Streptophyta; Magnoliopsida; Arecales; Arecaceae
Description: long non-coding RNA (EGUI_LNC026560)
Source: RNAcentral